AACCGUUAUAACCGGCGAUGUCCGAAUGGGGAAACCCAGUGCAAUUCGUUGCACUAUCGUUAACUGAAUACAUAGGUUAACGAGGCGAACCGGGGGAACUGAAACAUCUAAGUACCCCGAGGAAAAGAAAUCAACCGAGAUUCCCCCAGUAGCGGCGAGCGAACGGGGAGCAGCCCAGAGUCUGAAUCAGCUUGUGUGUUAGUGGAACGGUCUGGAAAGUCCGACGGUACAGGGUGAUAGUCCCGUACACCAAAAUGCACAGGUUGUGAACUCGAAGAGUAGGGCGGGACACGUGGUAUCCUGUCUGAAUAUGGGGGGACCAUCCUCCAAGGCUAAAUACUCCUGACUGACCGAUAGUGAACCAGUACCGUGAGGGAAAGGCGAAAAGAACCCCGGCGAGGGGAGUGAAAAAGAACCUGAAACCGUGUACGUACAAGCAGUGGGAGCACCUUCGGGUGUGACUGCGUACCUUUUGUAUAAUGGGUCAGCGACUUAUAUUCUGUAGCAAGGUUAACCGUAUAGGGGAGCCGCAGGGAAACCGAGUCUUAACUGGGCGUUAAGUUGCAGGGUAUAGACCCGAAACCCGGUGAUCUAGCCAUGGGCAGGUUGAAGGUUGGGUAACACUAACUGGAGGACCGAACCGACUAAUGUUGAAAAAUUAGCGGAUGACUUGUGGCUGGGGGUGAAAGGCCAAUCAAACCGGGAGAUAGCUGGUUCUCCCCGAAAGCUAUUUAGGUAGCGCCUCGUGAAUUCAUCUUCGGGGGUAGAGCACUGUUUCGGCUAGGGGGUCAUCCCGACUUACCAACCCGAUGCAAACUACGAAUACCGAAGAAUGUUAUCACGGGAGACACACGGCGGGUGCUAACGUCCGUCGUGAAGAGGGAAACAACCCAGACCGCCAGCUAAGGUCCCAAAGUCAUGGUUAAGUGGGAAACGAUGUGGGAAGGCACAGACAGCCAGGAUGUUGGCUUAGAAGCAGCCAUCAUUUAAAGAAAGCGUAAUAGCUCACUGGUCGAGUCGGCCUGCGCGGAAGAUGUAACGGGGCUAAACCAUGCACCGAAGCUGCGGCAGCGACACUAUGUGUUGUUGGGUAGGGGAGCGUUCUGUAAGCCUGCGAAGGUGACCUGUGAGGGUUGCUGGAGGUAUCAGAAGUGCGAAUGCUGACAUAAGUAACGAUAAAGCGGGUGAAAAGCCCGCUCGCCGGAAGACCAAGGGUUCCUGUCCAACGUUAAUCGGGGCAGGGUGAGUCGACCCCUAAGGCGAGGCCGAAAGGCGUAGUCGAUGGGAAACAGGUUAAUAUUCCUGUACUUGGUGUUACUGCGAAGGGGGGACGGAGAAGGCUAUGUUAGCCGGGCGACGGUUGUCCCGGUUUAAGCAUGUAGGCUGGUUAUCCAGGCAAAUCCGGAUAAUCAAGGCUGAGGUGUGAUGACGAGGCACUACGGUGCUGAAGUAACAAAUGCCCUGCUUCCAGGAAAAGCCUCUAAGCAUCAGGUAACAUCAAAUCGUACCCCAAACCGACACAGGUGGUCAGGUAGAGAAUACCAAGGCGCUUGAGAGAACUCGGGUGAAGGAACUAGGCAAAAUGGUGCCGUAACUUCGGGAGAAGGCACGCUGGUGUGUAGGUGAAGCCCCUGCGGGUGGAGCUGAGACCAGUCGAAGAUACCAGCUGGCUGCAACUGUUUAUUAAAAACACAGCACUGUGCAAACACGAAAGUGGACGUAUACGGUGUGACGCCUGCCCGGUGCCGGAAGGUUAAUUGAUGGGGUUAUCCGUAAGGAGAAGCUCUUGAUCGAAGCCCCGGUAAACGGCGGCCGUAACUAUAACGGUCCUAAGGUAGCGAAAUUCCUUGUCGGGUAAGUUCCGACCUGCACGAAUGGCGUAAUGAUGGCCAGGCUGUCUCCACCCGAGACUCAGUGAAAUUGAACUCGCUGUGAAGAUGCAGUGUACCCGCGGCAAGACGGAAAGACCCCGUGAACCUUUACUAUAGCUUGACACUGAACAUUGAGCCUUGAUGUGUAGGAUAGGUGGGAGGCUUUGAAGCGUGGACGCCAGUCUGCGUGGAGCCAACCUUGAAAUACCACCCUUUAAUGUUUGAUGUUCUAACGUUGGCCCCUUACCGGGGUUGCGGACAGUGUCUGGUGGGUAGUUUGACUGGGGCGGUCUCCUCCCAAAGCGUAACGGAGGAGCACGAAGGUUAGCUAAUCCUGGUCGGACAUCAGGAGGUUAGUGCAAUGGCAUAAGCUAGCUUGACUGCGAGCGUGACGGCGCGAGCAGGUGCGAAAGCAGGUCAUAGUGAUCCGGUGGUUCUGAAUGGAAGGGCCAUCGCUCAACGGAUAAAAGGUACUCCGGGGAUAACAGGCUGAUACCGCCCAAGAGUUCAUAUCGACGGCGGUGUUUGGCACCUCGAUGUCGGCUCAUCACAUCCUGGGGCUGAAGUAGGUCCCAAGGGUAUGGCUGUUCGCCAUUUAAAGUGGUACGCGAGCUGGGUUUAGAACGUCGUGAGACAGUUCGGUCCCUAUCUGCCGUGGGCGCUGGAGAAUUGAGGGGGGCUGCUCCUAGUACGAGAGGACCGGAGUGGACGCAUCACUGGUGUUCGGGUUGUCAUGCCAAUGGCACUGCCCGGUAGCUAAAUGCGGAAGAGAUAAGUGCUGAAAGCAUCUAAGCACGAAACUUGCCCCGAGAUGAGUUCUCCCUGAGACUUUAAGUCUCCUGAAGGAACGUUGAAGACGACGACGUUGAUAGGCCGGGUGUGUAAGCGCAGCGAUGCGUUGAGCUAACCGGUACUAAUGAACCGUGAGGCUUAACCUU
This 2809-nucleotide ribosomal RNA is filed under the name Klebsiella pneumoniae. Its description in RNAcentral is "partial 23S ribosomal RNA". It matches the Rfam family "Bacterial large subunit ribosomal RNA". Lineage: Bacteria; Pseudomonadati; Pseudomonadota; Gammaproteobacteria; Enterobacterales; Enterobacteriaceae. The record is from RNAcentral.